This 994-nucleotide ribosomal RNA is filed under the name uncultured bacterium. RNAcentral's name for it is "bacterial SSU rRNA". It matches the Rfam family "Bacterial small subunit ribosomal RNA", at positions 8 to 1008 of the family's 1533-position model. The record is from RNAcentral.
AGAGUUUGAUCAUGGCUCAGAUUGAACGCUGGCGGCACGCUUAACACAUGCAAGUCGAGCGGCAGCAUGACAUGUAGCAAUACAUGUUGAUGGCGAGCGGCGGACGGGUGAGUAACGCGUAGGAACCUGCCCUUGAGAGGGGGAUAACCAGAGGAAACUUUGGCUAAUACCGCAUAAACUCGAGAGAGCAAAGUUGCCCGCAAGGGUGAUGCUUGAGGAGGGGCCUGCGUCCGAUUAGCUAGUUGGUGAGGUAAUAGCUUACCAAGGCGAUGAUCGGUAACUGGUCUGAGAGGACGACCAGUCACACUGGGACUGAGACACGGCCCAGACUCCUACGGGAGGCAGCAGUGGGGAAUCUUGGACAAUGGGGGCAACCCUGAUCCAGCGAUGCCGCGUGAGUGAAGAAGGCCUUCGGGUCGUAAAGCUCUUUAGGUUGGGAAGAAGUGUGUGUGGUGAAUAGCCAUGCAUAUUGACGGUACCGACAGAAUAAGCACCGGCAAACUCUGUGCCGGCAGCCGCGGUAAUACAGAGGGUGCGAGCGUUAAUCGGAAUUACUGGGCGUAAAGGGCGCGUAGGCGGUAGAAUGUGAGUGUUGUGAAAGCCCUGGGCUUAACCUGGGAAGUGCAAUGCAGACUAUUUUACUGGAGUAUAUGAGAGGGUGGUGGAAUUUCCGGUGUAGCGGUGAAAUGCGUAGAGAUCGGAAGGAACGUCGAUGGCGAAAGCAGCCACCUGGCAUAAUACUGACGCUGAGGCGCGAAAGCGUGGGGAGCGAACAGGAUUAGAUACCCUGGUAGUCCACGCUGUAAACGAUGAGUACUAAAUGUUUGUAGGGGAACCUAUGAGUAUUGAAGUUAACACGAUAAGUACUCCGCCUGGGAAGUACGGCCGCAGUGAAACUCAAUGAUGACGGGGCCGCACAGCGGUGGAGCAUGUGGUUUAUCGAUGCACGCGAGACCUUACCUACCCUUGACAUCCUGCGAACCUGGUUGGAGAG